Molecule: long non-coding RNA, 204 nt
Filed under: Prunus persica (peach)
Lineage: Eukaryota; Viridiplantae; Streptophyta; Magnoliopsida; Rosales; Rosaceae
Description: long non-coding RNA (PPER_LNC001811)
Source: RNAcentral
CCACAAGCCAUGAGUGACACCUAACAAUAUAUUAUAGCUACCCAAGCUAAAUAGAAUUCAUUGGAGAACCUAUUUAGUUGUAAUUGCAAUGCGGACAUAAUGCGUACCAAUCUUUGCGGAUUACCAUUGUCCAAUCAAUGAUCCUAUGACUAUGAACAUUUUAGAUGUGAUAUAUUAUAAUGGAAAGGUUUUGUUAGAUUGCUU